This is a long non-coding RNA of Hippocampus comes (tiger tail seahorse), 428 nucleotides long. RefSeq lists it as uncharacterized. The transcript has 2 exons. The record is from RefSeq and is a predicted model, not a curated record. NCBI's taxonomy places the organism in Eukaryota, Metazoa, Chordata, Actinopteri, Syngnathiformes, Syngnathidae.
GGGGUGACGCAAUGACGCUGCUACACUGAUGAUGGACGAGGCAGCUCGGACGUUUGUUUCGGAUGAAUCGCCUGAACGGCCUCGAGUGUGACGCCCAAGUCAUGGGAAAUAUAUCAGGUUUUCAAAAUAAAUGACCAGUCAAAGUGGUCCUUGAGAGGUUCCAUUGAAGAAAAAAAAAACACAUGGCAAAAUAUUCAAAUCCCUGGCAAUUUUCACAGAAACUGAAUUUUGAUUUGAUGAAUUGGUGUGCAGUAUUUUCACUGCAAAUUGUACAAGAAAGUGGCACAAGAUUAUCACGUAUUGACGGCACUGAUUCGAAACAUAAUGUUCAGAAUACCAUACUGCUUUAUCUUUGGUGCAAAAUAUCAAAUAUAUUGCGACUCAUUUCCUUUAAACAAUUUCAGUGUUUUGCCACUUUCUUCUAAUGU